This is a long non-coding RNA of Xiphophorus hellerii (green swordtail), 229 nucleotides long. RefSeq lists it as uncharacterized. Lineage: Eukaryota; Metazoa; Chordata; Actinopteri; Cyprinodontiformes; Poeciliidae. The transcript has 3 exons. The record is from RefSeq and is a predicted model, not a curated record.
GUUCAAUGUCUCACCAACGCAUCAUAAUGCUGACAAGCAACUGCGGGAAAUUUACGAUCUGACCUGUUUCCAGGUGCGACCUGACCUGUUUCCAGGUGCGAUCUGACCUGUUUCCAGGUGCGACCUGACCUGUUUCCAGGUGCGACCUGACCUGUUUGCAGGUGCGACCUGACCUGUUUCCAGGUGCGACCAGACCUGUUUCCAGGUGCGACCAGACCUGUUUCCAGGU